AAAGCUCAAAUUUUGAAUCUGGUGUCUCCGACCCCCGAGUUGUAAUCUAGAGAAGUGUUUUCUGCGUUGGACCGUGUACAAGUCCCCUGGGAUGGCGGCAUCAUAGAGGGUGAGAAUCCCGUAUAUGGCACGGACUACCAAUGCUCUGUGAUACACUCUCAACGAGUCGAGUUGUUUGGGAAUGCAGCUCAAAAUGGGUGGUAAAUUCCAUCUAAAGCUAAAUAUUGGCGAGAGACCGAUAGCGAA
Molecule: ribosomal RNA, 246 nt
Filed under: Serendipita sp.
Lineage: Eukaryota; Fungi; Basidiomycota; Agaricomycetes; Sebacinales; Serendipitaceae
Description: partial large subunit ribosomal RNA
Rfam family: Eukaryotic large subunit ribosomal RNA
Source: RNAcentral